AAUCAACGCUGGCGGCGUGCCUAACACAUGCAAGUCGAACGCGAAAGGGCAACCCUGAGUAGAGUGGCGUCCGGUGAGUAACACGUGGAUAAUCUGGCCUGCGGGCGGGGAAUAAACUUUCCGGAAAGGGAGCUAAUACCGACAUAACACCGUAAUAGGGCAUCCUGAUACGGUCAAAGAGGGGAUCGCAAGACCUCUCG
RNAcentral lists this ribosomal RNA (200 nucleotides) under uncultured bacterium. RNAcentral's name for it is "partial 16S ribosomal RNA". It matches the Rfam family "Bacterial small subunit ribosomal RNA", at positions 32 to 217 of the family's 1533-position model. The record is from RNAcentral.